Molecule: unclassified non-coding RNA, 348 nt
Filed under: soil metagenome
Description: partial contains 5.8S ribosomal RNA, internal transcribed spacer 2, and large subunit ribosomal RNA
Rfam family: 5.8S ribosomal RNA (bases 1-120)
Source: RNAcentral
GAUGAAGAACGCAGCGAAAUGCGAUAAGUAAUGUGAAUUGCAGAAUUCAGUGAAUCAUCGAAUCUUUGAACGCACAUUGCGACCGCCAGUAUUCUGGCGGGCAUGCCUGUCUGAGCGUCAUUUCAACCCUCAUGCCCCUAGGGCGUGGUGUUGGGGAUCGGCCAAAGCCCGCGAGGGACGGCCGGCCCCUAAAUCUAGUGGCGGACCCGUCGUGGCCUCCUCUGCGAAGUAGUGAUAUUCCGCAUCGGAGAGCGACGAGCCCCUGCCGUUAAACCCCCAACUUUCCAAGGUUGACCUCAGAUCAGGUAGGAAUACCCGCUGAACUUAAGCAUAUCAAUAAGCGGAGGA